This 253-nucleotide ribosomal RNA is filed under the name uncultured bacterium. RNAcentral's name for it is "partial 16S ribosomal RNA". It matches the Rfam family "Bacterial small subunit ribosomal RNA", at positions 524 to 776 of the family's 1533-position model. The record is from RNAcentral.
GACAGAGGGUGCAAACGUUGUUCGGAAUUACUGGGCGUAAAGCGUGUGUAGGCGGCCAUAUAAGUCGGAUGUGAAAGCCCUGGGCUCAACCCAGGAAGUGCACUCGAUACUGUAUGGCUAGAGUACUGGAGAGGUUGGUGGAAUUCUCGGUGUAGAGGUGAAAUUCGUAGAUAUCGAGAGGAGCACCGGUGGCGAAGGCGGCCAACUGGACAGAUACUGACGCUGAGACACGAAAGCGUGGGGAGCAAACAGG